AAGAACAAAAGAGCAUAUCAACAUUCACCAGAAAGAAAAAAAGAAUAUACUAUGGCUAGUAAGGGAAUUUUCCUUUCAGGUUUAACCUUUAUUUUCAUUGGAAUCCUGGAGCUGGCUUUCAUUUCUUUCCCAGCAGAAGCUGCCAUAAAGAAAUAUCAGUUUGAUAUUCAAGUGAGGAAUGUGAGUAGAUUGUGCCAUGCAAAACCAAUUGUCACUGUAAAUGGGAGGUUUCCAGGGCCUACAAUUUAUGUAAGAGAAGGAGAUCGGGUUCUUGUCAAUGUCACCAAUUAUGCCCAAUAUAACAUGUCAAUUCACUGGCAUGGACUGAAGCAAUAUCGCAAUGGGUGGGCAGAUGGACCAGCUUAUAUAACCCAGUGUCCAAUUCAGAAAGGAAGUAGCUACAAUUAUGACUUCAAUGUCACAGGGCAGAGAGGGACCUUAUGGUGGCACGCACAUAUUUUUUGGCUAAGGGCUACAGUUUAUGGUGCAAUUGUCAUUAUGCCUAAACAAGGAACUCCAUAUCCUUUCCCACGGCCAAAUAUGGAAUUCAAUAUUGUCUUAGGAGAAUGGUGGAACACUGAUGUGGAGGAGGUUGUAAGGCAAGGAACCAAAAUGGGCUUGCCUCCAAACAUGUCUGACGCACACACAAUCAACGGGAAGCCAGGGCCUCUCUUUCCUUGUUCUGAGAAAUGUAAGCGAAAUUUCCUACCUCAUAGAGAAUGCUUCAAGCGAUAGCAUCUAACAGUAGUUCCACUAAUUUCUUUAACACUAAAAUAAUUGUGGCCAAUCAGGUGUAACCUAAUUAAUUAUAAGCGAUUUUGAGUUCGAAUCUCUCCAUCCAUCUUAGGUGUUAAGUGCUAUGGUCUUUCAUUUUUGCUAUUGUUUGUUUUAGAUACUUUUGCAAUGGAGGUUGAACCAGGGAAGACAUACCUCCUCAGAAUUGUGAAUGCCGCCCUCAAUGAUGAGCUUUUCUUUGGCAUUUCUGGCCACACCAUGACAGUGGUGGAGGUUGAUGCAGUUUAUACAAAGCCAUUUACCACUCAAACUAUACUAAUUGCACCUGGCCAGACCACAAAUAUUCUGGUGAAAGCCAACCAAGUUCCAGGCAGAUAUUUCAUGGCUACUAGGCCUUUCAUAGAUGUUCCUCUUCCUAUCGACAAUAAAACAGCCACAGCAAUUCUCCAAUACAAAGGCAUUCCAAACACUGUCCUCCCAUCUCUUCCUCAAUUGCCUGCACCAAAUGACACAGAAUUUGCUUUAAGCUACAACAGAAAGCUUAGAAGCUUGAACUCUCCUCAGUUUCCAGCCAAUUUACCCCUCAAAGUCGAUCGAAAACUCUUCUACACUAUCGGUUUUGGUAAAGAUUCCUGCCCAACUUGCGCUAAUGGAACACGCCUGCUAGCUUCUUUGAACAAUAUCUCCUUUGUUAUGCCUCAAACUGCUCUUCUUCAAGCUCAUUACUUCAACCUCACAGGAGUUUUCAGGACUGAUUUCCCUGACAAGCCUCCUACUCCUUUCAACUACACUGGUGCACCACUUACCGCCAGUCUUGGAACUGUCCAUGGCACCAAGCCUAGCCUCAGCAAGAUUGCAUUUAAUUCUACGGUUGAGCUAGUUCUACAGGAUACCAACUUGCUAACGGUUGAGUCACAUCCCUUCCAUCUUCAUGGAUAUAAUUUCUUUGUUGUUGGUACUGGAAUUGGAAAUUUUGAUCCUGUCAAAGACCCUGCUAAAUAUAACCUGGUUGAUCCCAUUGAGAGAAAUACAGUUGGUGUUCCUACUGGGGGAUGGACUGCUAUUCGGUUUAGAGCUGACAAUCCAGGUGUUUGGUUUAUGCAUUGUCAUUUGGAG
This 1851-nucleotide unclassified non-coding RNA is filed under the name Hevea brasiliensis (rubber tree). The record is from RNAcentral. Lineage: Eukaryota; Viridiplantae; Streptophyta; Magnoliopsida; Malpighiales; Euphorbiaceae.